This is a long non-coding RNA of Passer domesticus (house sparrow), 491 nucleotides long. RefSeq lists it as uncharacterized. Lineage: Eukaryota; Metazoa; Chordata; Aves; Passeriformes; Passeridae. The transcript has 4 exons. The record is from RefSeq and is a predicted model, not a curated record.
GAAAGAAAUACAAAGAGAGUGAGCAGACGCUGCUUUGCUGGGAGGUUGCAGUGCUUCCCCCAGGCCAUUUUCCCAUCUAUUUUCCCCUUUUCCCAUCCAUUUUCCCCUUUUCCUACAUGGUGGCAGCUGUCCUGGAGACCUCAGAAGGGAGCUGCUCAGAGUGCCAUGUCGCUGUGUCAGCCCUUCACAAGACUCCCAAAACAUCGAGCCUCAAGGAACUGUGUAAGGAUUUAGCAUCUACUUGGCCUGAGCAAACACCCAGAGCAGUUUUUUAGAGCAGCAGCUCUCUGCAGUUCACUGUGAUGAUUCUGGCCAGGCUCAGUUUCAUUUGCUGCAGGCAGAUUUGCUUUCUCUUGCUCGGGAACAGCAGAGUUAACCAGUAAUGACCUGCCAACUUCCACAAAUCACAGGGCUGUGUAUAUAGGACAAACACAUUCUGAAGGAAUUAAGGGCACAGCUUUGCUUUCUGAUUUCCAGGCUCUUGAACCAGA